Molecule: long non-coding RNA, 975 nt
Filed under: Bos indicus x Bos taurus (hybrid cattle)
Lineage: Eukaryota; Metazoa; Chordata; Mammalia; Artiodactyla; Bovidae
Description: lncRNA (ENSBIXG00005000417.1)
Source: RNAcentral
GCUUCCCUGGUGGCUCAGACAAUAAUGGAUCCGCCUGCACUGCGGGAGACUGGCUUCGGUCCCUGGGUUGGGAAGAUCCCCUGGAGGAAGGCAUGACAACCCACCUCGGUAUUCUUGCCUGUGGAAUCCCCAUGGGCAGAGUACAUGGACUACAGUCCAUGGGGUUGCAAAGAGACGGACACAGCUGAGCAACUAAGCACAGCACUGCACGUGGUAGUUUUAUUCCAAGUUUUAAAGGAAAUCUCCAUACUGUUCUCCAUAGUGGCUGUAUCAGCAUUCAUUCUCACAAACAGUAUAGGAGGAUUCCCUUUUCUCCACAUCCACUCCAACAUUUAUUGUGCGUAGCUUUCCAAUGAUGACCAUUCUGACCGCUGUGACUAGAUACCUAAUUGUGGCUCUGAUUUGCAUUUUUUAAUGAUGAGUGAGGUUGAGCAUCUUUUCAUAUCUUUGUUGAUAGGUUCCGUUUUUACUCUGGAAAUAAUCGACACUUGAACAUCAUUGUACAGUUCUCAAAAGGCUUUUUUUUUUUUUUUGGUAAUCUAAAUGAAGGCAGCAAAAAGGAGUCAUUAUCGCAGAGUACGAUCAUCAUCGUCUUCAAUUCAGGAAACUAAGUCACAGAGACUGUGUCUCUACCUGGUGCCAUCAACCCAUGGAGGGAACUGCCAGUUCCUGUGAUGGCCAGUGGAGGGAGCGACCCCAAUGCUGCUUCGACCUGCUACAGAUUCAACUGUGAUGACUGACUUCCUUCACUACAACUCCUCUGAGCAGAACACACCUAAAUAUGAAAUGAAGUGUGUGCCUGUGCAUGUGGCAGUCAUCUCCUUGCAGGGACAGUCCCCAUCAUCCCUAACCAAUCCAACUGCAGUAGGAGGACACAUAGCAUCUGGUCCCUGUUUAGAACUACUUCCUCAAUGAACGAAGCACCAGGACUCAAGGUAAAUUCUCAGUCAAUAAAGCGUAGCUCUUCAUGGACCA